Molecule: ribosomal RNA, 461 nt
Filed under: uncultured Streptococcus sp.
Lineage: Bacteria; Bacillati; Bacillota; Bacilli; Lactobacillales; Streptococcaceae
Description: bacterial SSU rRNA
Rfam family: Bacterial small subunit ribosomal RNA
Source: RNAcentral
CCCGCACAAGCGGUGGAGCGAUGUGGUUUAAUUCGAAGCAACGCGAAGAACCUUACCAGGUCUUGACAUCCCGAUGCUAUUUCUAGAGAUAGAAAGUUACUUCGGUACAUCGGUGACAGGUGGUGCAUGGUUGUCGUCAGCUCGUGUCGUGAGAUGUUGGGUUAAGUCCCGCAACGAGCGCAACCCCUAUUGUUAGUUGCCAUCAUUCAGUUGGGCACUCUAGCGAGACUGCCGGUAAUAAACCGGAGGAAGGUGGGAUGACGUCAAAUCAUCAUGCCCCUUAUGACCUGGGCUACACACGUGCUACAAUGGUUGGUACAACGAGUUGCGAGUCGGUGACGGCGAGCUAAUCUCUUAAAGCCAAUCUCAGUUCGGAUUGUAGGCUGCAACUCGCCUACAUGAAGUCGGAAUCGCUAGUAAUCGCGGAUCAGCACGCCGCGGUGAAUACGUUCCCGGGCCUU